AGCAUUAUUACCGCCAUUAUCAGCAUGGCGGGCUAGCGCAUUAGCACCUGACCCGCCCUGGAGGCGGGUCUG
This 72-nucleotide small RNA is filed under the name Pseudomonas sp. URIL14HWK12:I10. RNAcentral's name for it is "Pseudomonas sRNA P9". It matches the Rfam family "Pseudomonas sRNA P9". From Rfam's summary of the family: P9 appears to be conserved in several Pseudomonas species in addition to Bordetella spp. In both Pseudomonas and Bordetella spp P9 appears to be located upstream of a predicted threonine dehydratase gene. P9 has a predicted Rho independent terminator at the 3' end but the function of P9 is unknown. Lineage: Bacteria; Pseudomonadati; Pseudomonadota; Gammaproteobacteria; Pseudomonadales; Pseudomonadaceae. The record is from RNAcentral. RNAcentral also lists the same sequence under 3 other names.